GACGAACGCUGGCGGCGUGCUUAACACAUGCAAGUCGAACGGAAAGGCCCUGCUUUUGUGGGGUGCUCGAGUGGCGAACGGGUGAGUAACACGUGAGUAACCUGCCCUUGACUUUGUGAUAACUUCAGGAAACUGGGGCUAAUACCGGAGAGGAGCUCCUGCUGCAUGGGGGGCGUUGGAAAGUUUCGGCGGUGGUGGAUGGACUCGCGGCUUAUCAGCUUGUUGGUGGGGUAGUGGCUUACCAAGGCUUUGGCGGGUAGCCGGCCUGGGAGGGUGGACGGCGACAUUGGGACUAAGAUACGGCGCAGACUCGUACGGGAGGCAGCAGUGGGGAAUAUUGCCCAAUGGGCGGACGCCUGAUGCAGCAACGCCGCGUGCGUGAUGACGGCCUUCGGGUUGUAAACCGCUUUCGCCUGUGACGAAGCGUGAGUGACGGUAAUGGGUAAAGAAGCACCGGCUAACUACGUG
Molecule: ribosomal RNA, 468 nt
Filed under: uncultured bacterium
Lineage: Bacteria
Description: partial 16S ribosomal RNA
Rfam family: Bacterial small subunit ribosomal RNA
Source: RNAcentral